CUACGGGCUGCUCCAGUGGGGAAUAUUGCACAAUGGAGGAAACUCUGAUGCAGCAACGCCGCGUGGAGGAUGACACUUUUCGGAGCGUAAACUCCUUUUAUAUAGGAAGAAGAUGACGGUACUAUAUGCAUAAGCGCCGGCUAACUCCGUGCCAGCAGCCGCGGUAAUACGGAGGGCGCACGCGUUACUCGGAAUCACUGGGCGUAAAGAGCGUGUAGGCGGAUUAAAAAGUCAGAAGUGAAAUCCUAUAGCUUAACUAUAGAACUGCUUCUGAAACUCUUAAUCUAGAAUAUGGGAGAGGUAGAUGGAAUUUCUGGUGUAGGGGUAAAAUCCGUAGAGAUCAGAAGGAAUACCGAUUGCGAAGGCGAUCUACUAGAACAUUAUUGACGCUGAGACGCGAAAGCGUGGGGAGCAAACAGGAUUAGAUACCCGAGUAGUC
Molecule: ribosomal RNA, 439 nt
Filed under: uncultured bacterium
Lineage: Bacteria
Description: partial 16S ribosomal RNA
Rfam family: Bacterial small subunit ribosomal RNA
Source: RNAcentral